GUGUUUAUGUGGUUCCAAGAAGAAGAUGCAAGUUUUGGCUUGCUACCAAGGUUUUUCAUUGUGUUUACUAGGAAGAUUGUGCGGGCAUCCAAGAAAAACCACAAGUCCAUUUCUAACUGUAACCACAAAGAUACUUCAAUGAUGUGUGGGUUUGUGCAACUGUGUGGUGGUGACCUAGAAUAAAGCUCAGGAUAUGAAAACAUCUGCCUGGUUUCUGCCGGACUGCCUGUAGUGGGUCAGACCAAAGUACAGCCAGCGUUAAGUCAUUAGCUGGUGAGGGUUCAGAAGCCAACCACUCAGAUGGCUUCAGCUGGCUGUUUUUAUGCCCGGUUACUCGUUAACAAAGAUUUCUGGGAUCGUACACUCCCAAUUAUUGUGCAUGAACUUAAACUGACGUUUUCUGGUGUCUGAACUGCAUGACACUUGCACUUGGAAAGAGGAGACAUCAUAGCGUCACGUCAAUACAUACCCAACCAACUAGCUACUACCACUUACGUUGGGGCGGGAAUAUUUGAAUUUCCGUGUCAGUAAGCUAGAGAGAUCCCUAGAUCCGUAGACACCUCCGUAGAGAUCCACUCACUGCCUGUCCGCAACAUUAGCUGUGAUUUCAACGAGAAGACUUCAACAAGACUUUCAGCAAAGUUGACAUCGAAGUACUUCAAAAGAACCAUGGUCUAGGAACAAUUUACACAGUAGGUCUUAUGUUAGUGUGGUGGUUGCACAUUUCAAUUAUUUACUAGCUAGCUAACGUUAGUCAGCUGAAAUAAGUGCCAGAGAUGAAUAAACAUAUUUUAGCUAGCUAGCUACUUUGUGUUAAGCAAGAGUUUAGGGGUUAGUUGUUGCAAGGUGCUUGAAUGCCUUACAAAAUAAGCUGUUUAUCAAGGUAAUAAGACUUACGAGCACACUGUGUCCUAUUGCAGGGAAGUGAUGUUUUUUGUUUUUGUGAAUGUAGGGAAAAACUUGUGAUCGAUAUUGAAGCAUAGAGGUGUUUUAUGGAGAAUAAAUGAACAAUUAUUCUACUCAAUAUCCCUACACCCCAGUCUCCUCUGCUACCUCCCAGGGAGGAGGAAUACCCUAAACUCCUCGUUCUCACAGGACUCGGGCUAGUACGCUGUUGCCAGACAUGUUGGAUACAACACUGGGUCGUUGACCAGCAGUGGUUACCCUCCCCAGGACAUGUUGCCCUCCUGCUCCUCCUCUGCUGUCUCUUCCUCAGCCGGGGCAUGCAAGCUCCCUGUUACCCAGAGGACCCCCAUGCACCUCCUCAAAACAGCUAUCACAUGGGUCGCCCACGUACCCCCCUACUGCCGCCUUAUAUCCUAAUGAGCCCCAGGUCUACCCCACAUAUGCGAUGCCACCCCCUUCACUCCAGGACGAGCAGCCCCCUCUGGCAGACAAAAUGAACUAUUUGUAGAACAUUGCAUAGGAAUCAAAAUCCUAUUUUUGUAACUUACUCUGGUUAUCGACCAAUGAUUUCCAUUUGCAUAGUUAUUUGUUCAAUUCUAGAGUUCACUUGCAGCAUUUGAAUACAUUUCUUCAGUUCCUGCUCUGAUUCAUCAGUCACACACUGUGUCAUGUUUCUUUUGUCUUACAGUGCCUUGCAAAAGUAUUCAUACCCCUUGGAUUUCUUCACAUUGUAUUGUUACAAAGUGGGAUUAAAAUGGAUCACAAUUUAAUGAACAAUCUACACAAAAUACUCGGUAAUGUCAAAGUAGAAGAAAAAAUGUACCAUUUUAAAGAUUGAUAUAACUACAACGACUAGAUUUGAGUUAUUUGAUUAGUAUUCAGCUCCCUGAGUCACAACAUGUUUGGCAGAAGGUUACUGCUGUGAUUCUUCUUGGGUAAGUGUCUAAGAGCGGUAUACAUAUUACCCAUUAUAUUAGCCCAUUAUUCUUUUGUAAUUCUUCAACCUCUGUAAAGAGGAUGGGAUCAUGGCUAGACAGCUAUUUUCAAGUCUUUCCAAAUGUUUUCAAGCAGAUUUAGGUCUCAACUGUAAUUUGGCCACACAGGAACAUUUCCUGUCUUCUUGGUAAGCAACUCCGGUGUAGAUUUGGUCUUAAGGUGUAUGUUAUUGUCAUACUGAAAGGUGAAUUCCUCUCCCAGUGUCUGGUGUAAAGCAGACUGAAGCAGGUUUUCCUCUAGGAUUUUGAAUGUGCUUAGCUCCAUCUCGUUUCCCGAAGUCAAGCUUACCCAUACCAUGAUGCAGGCACCACCAUGCUUGGA
Molecule: non-coding RNA, 2223 nt
Organism: Oncorhynchus mykiss (rainbow trout)
Lineage: Eukaryota; Metazoa; Chordata; Actinopteri; Salmoniformes; Salmonidae
Source: RefSeq, a predicted model, not a curated record